UACGUAGGGUCCGAGCGUUGUCCGGAAUUAUUGGGCGUAAAGGGCUCGUAGGCGGUUUGUCGCGUCGGGAGUGAAAACACGGGGCUUAACCCCGUGCCUGCUUCCGAUACGGGCAGACUAGAGGUAUGCAGGGGAGAACGGAAUUCCUGGUGUAGCGGUGAAAUGCGCAGAUAUCAGGAGGAACACCGGUGGCGAAGGCGGUUCUCUGGGCCUGUACUGACGCUGAGGAACGAAAGCCAGGGGAGCAAACGGG
This 253-nucleotide ribosomal RNA is filed under the name uncultured bacterium. Its description in RNAcentral is "partial 16S ribosomal RNA". It matches the Rfam family "Bacterial small subunit ribosomal RNA", at positions 524 to 776 of the family's 1533-position model. The record is from RNAcentral.